UUAAAUUGAAGAGUUUGAUCAUGGCUCAGAUUGAACGCUGGCGGCAGGCCUAACACAUGCAAGUCGAACGGUAACAGGAAUCAGCUUGCUGAUUUGCUGACGAGUGGCGGACGGGUGAGUAAUGUCUGGGAAACUGCCUGAU
RNAcentral lists this ribosomal RNA (142 nucleotides) under Escherichia coli. RNAcentral describes it as "partial 16S ribosomal RNA". It matches the Rfam family "Bacterial small subunit ribosomal RNA", at positions 1 to 134 of the family's 1533-position model. Lineage: Bacteria; Pseudomonadati; Pseudomonadota; Gammaproteobacteria; Enterobacterales; Enterobacteriaceae. The record is from RNAcentral.